GACGAACGCUGGCGGCGUGCUUAACACAUGCAAGUCGAACGGUAAGGCCCUUUCGGGGGUACGCGAGUGGCGAACGGGUGAGUAACACGUGGGUGAUCUGCCCUGCACUUUGGGAUAAGCCUGGGAAACUGGGUCUAAUACCGGAUAGGACUACGCGAUGCAUGUCGUGUGGUGGAAAGCUUUUGCGGUGUGGGAUGGGCCCGCGGCCUAUCAGCUUGUUGGUGGGGUGAUGGCCUACCAAGGCGACGACGGGUAGCCGGCCUGAGAGGGUGUCCGGCCACACUGGGACUGAGAUACGGCCCAGACUCCUACGGGAGGCAGCAGUGGGGAAUAUUGCACAAUGGGCGCAAGCCUGAUGCAGCGACGCCGCGUGGGGGAUGACGGCCUUCGGGUUGUAAACCCCUUUCAGCACAGACGAAGCGUAAGUGACGGUAUGUGCAGAAGAAGCACCGGCCAACUACGUG
Molecule: ribosomal RNA, 464 nt
Filed under: uncultured bacterium
Lineage: Bacteria
Description: partial 16S ribosomal RNA
Rfam family: Bacterial small subunit ribosomal RNA
Source: RNAcentral